RNAcentral lists this ribosomal RNA (442 nucleotides) under uncultured bacterium. Its description in RNAcentral is "partial 16S ribosomal RNA". It matches the Rfam family "Bacterial small subunit ribosomal RNA", at positions 338 to 795 of the family's 1533-position model. The record is from RNAcentral.
CCUACGGGUGGCAGCAGUGGGGGAUAUUGCACAAUGGGGGAAACUCUGAUGCAGCGACGCCGCGUGGGCGACGAAGUAUUUCGGUAUGUAAAGCCCUAUCAGCAGGGAAGAAGAAAUGACUGUACCUGAGUAAGAAGCACCGGCUAAAUACGUGCCAGCAGCCGCGGUAAUACGUAUGGUGCAAGCGUUAUCCGGAUUUACUGGGUGUAAAGGGAGCGCAGGCGGCACGGCAAGCUUGAUGUGAAAGCCCGCGGCCCAACCGCGGGACUGACUUGGGAACUGCCGGGCUUGAGUGCAGGAGAGGUAGGCGGAAUGCCUAGUGUAGCGGUGAAAUGCGUAGAUAUUAGGAGGAACACCAGUGGCGAAGGCAGCCUACUGGACGGUGACUGACGCUGAGGCUCGAAAGCGUGGGGAGCAAACAGGAUUAGAUACCCCAGUAGUC